UCUGGAUCUGUUGUACGAAGAAAACUUGGAAGAUCCCUUAACCGUAUAUCUUUCAUUCCUGGAAUCCAGUCUAGUACUUGAUCCAAAUAGCCAUUUGUUAAAAAGCUCUCGUCUGCGAACAAAAAUUAAAUGCAUAUGUAGCUUACCAUUAUGGGCUAGUAAAUGAAGACAACAGCAGAAGAGGAAUUAGCGUAAAAUCAGAAGAGAAGAAAGGUUCCCUAGCUUGAACUCAAAUUUCAGGUUACGCAGCCGAAGGGCUACCCUGGAAUUAUAACCACGGAUCUGGUACAUGUACUGACUAUACCAUGAUCUAGCAUAAACUACCAGGAUAUUUUACCAUUCAAUCAGAAAGUUUUAGUCCAUAAGAACUCAGUUCAUGUAGCAAUCUAUUUAUUUCCAUGGAUGACGGCUACGAUGAUGCAGGCACAUGAACUACUAGGAUAUUUAUCUAAUGCCCAAAUGAAAUAAAAGAAAAUCAUAAUGAAGUUGUCAUUUCAAUUCCAAUUCUUGUUCUUACCUUUUAAUGGAAACAGUCCUCUUUCUUUGAGCUCUUUAUAUUGCUUAAGCCCCAUGAAAGUGCAAGCAGAGAUAGAAAAGAACAAGGCAACAGGAAUUCCAUGCCUCUCAGCAGCAGUGAUGGCAGCUGGCACAAAUCCAUCAGAUACAAUGCAAGUCACUUGAGGAACAUCAGCAGAUGCUGUAUGAUUGAGCUUGGCAAGCAAUUCAUUAAAUGGAGCUAGCAAGUUCUUCUUGCAAGCCUCCAAAAUUGCUUGUGUAUCUUGGGUAGCAUUCUCAUCUGAAGGAGGGAGGCCAUCUGGGAUAGAUUCGAAUCGAAAGUCGGGCAAGCCAUUCAGGGAAUAAGGACCUCUAGAUUUAAGCAUGCGUCUGUGGUUGAACUCUGUGUUCACAAAGGUUAUGCGAAAACCUCGGUAAUGCAGUAGUUUUGCUAGUUUAAGCAUUGCCUUUACAUGGCUUUGAGCUGGACAGGGAAUACAGAUUACAUGAGGCUUGUCAGCUAAGAUUUUGCGAAACAUGUCUCUAGCUCUUUCCUUCUUUCUCUA
Long non-coding RNA from Populus trichocarpa (black cottonwood), 1061 nucleotides. RefSeq lists it as uncharacterized. The transcript has 4 exons. The record is from RefSeq and is a predicted model, not a curated record. Lineage: Eukaryota; Viridiplantae; Streptophyta; Magnoliopsida; Malpighiales; Salicaceae.